AAGUGGUUGCGUUUCAUGAGUCAGGCCACGCCUUGGUGGGCUGGAUGCUGGAGCACACAGAGGCCGUGAUGAAGGUCUCCAUAGCCCCUCGGACGAACGCCGCCCUGGGCUUUGCUCAGAUGCUCCCCAGAGACCAGCACCUCUUCACCAAGGAGCAGCUGUUUGAGCGGAUGUGCAUGGCCCUGGGGGGACGGGCCUCGGAAGCACUGUCCUUCAACAAGGUCACUUCUGGUGAGGAGCAGCGGCGCGGGCCCUGGAGGUUUCAGAGCGCUUUUCCCUGCAUGAUUCCUUCUGUUCCAGUGCAUGCCAUGGGGUGAAUCUGGUGUAGACGUAGCUUUGAAUUUAUUAAGUAUUUUGUAAAAGAUAAGUUGUGGUCAUAAGAGAUUUGGAGCUAAGCAAGACUUUUUAGAUAAUUUAAUUGGACAAAAACUUAACCUAUAUGCCAACUCUAAACACAUUCAAU
This 463-nucleotide small RNA is filed under the name Pan troglodytes (chimpanzee). Its description in RNAcentral is "retained intron". The record is from RNAcentral. Lineage: Eukaryota; Metazoa; Chordata; Mammalia; Primates; Hominidae.